Molecule: ribosomal RNA, 495 nt
Filed under: uncultured bacterium
Lineage: Bacteria
Description: partial 16S ribosomal RNA
Rfam family: Bacterial small subunit ribosomal RNA
Source: RNAcentral
GAUGAACGCUGGCGGCGUGCCUAAUACAUGCAAGUCGAGCGAACGGACGAGAAGCUUGCUUCUCUGAUGUUAGCGGCGGACGGGUGAGUAACACGUGGAUAACCUACCUAUAAGACUGGGAUAACUUCGGGAAACCGGAGCUAAUACCGGAUAAUAUUUUGAACCGCAUGGUUCAAAAGUGAAAGACGGUCUUGCUGUCACUUAUAGAUGGAUCCGCGCUGCAUUAGCUAGUUGGUAAGGUAACGGCUUACCAAGGCAACGAUGCAUAGCCGACCUGAGAGGGGGACCGGCCAACCUGGAACUGAGACACGGGCCAGAAUCCGACGGGGGGCAGGCGGAGGGAAUUUCCCCAAAAGGGAGAAAGGCUGAAGGGGCAACGCCGCGUGGGUGAAGGAGGUUUUCGGAUUGGAAAACUCUUUUAUUGGGGAAAAACAUAUGGGUAAGGAACUGGGCCACUUUUGACGGGACCUAAACAAAAAGCCACGGGUAAACACG